CAACGAGCGCAACCCCUGUCCUGUGUUGCCAUCAUUCAGUUGGGAACUCGCAGGAGACCGCCAGCGAUAAGCUGGAGGAAGGUGGGGAUGACGUCAAGUCCUCAUGGCCUUUAUGUCCAGGGCUACACACGUGCUACAAUGGACGGUACAAACCGCAGCAAACCCGUGAGGGGGAGCCAAUCG
RNAcentral lists this ribosomal RNA (183 nucleotides) under uncultured Acidobacteriota bacterium. RNAcentral's name for it is "uncultured Acidobacteria bacterium partial 16S ribosomal RNA". It matches the Rfam family "Bacterial small subunit ribosomal RNA", at positions 1090 to 1274 of the family's 1533-position model. The record is from RNAcentral. Lineage: Bacteria; Pseudomonadati; Acidobacteriota.